UUUUUUUUUUUUUUUUUUUUGGCUGAAGGAAAAACAGAGGUCAAAUGCACGCAGUUGCCAACAUGUUUCAUCAAGAUGUAAUUUUGAAAUAGUUGGUGGCAUAAAAGCUGCCAGAGCAUUGCUGUCCAAUUCACUUCCCAAAACUUUCUCUGAGGAGGCUGAAAAAACCAGUUACUGAAUACUAAAUAGCCAUUUAAAAGUGGCUCACAUGAAAGUUGGAUAUGUAGCACAUUUUCUUCUAUUUCUUGAUCUCUCAUGUAUGGGAAAUUGAGGAGUAUAAGAAUGGAAGAGUGUCAGACAUUGGAAGAGUGUGAGUACUCUGAGCCAAUGUAGAGAGGAAUGCAAACUGCAGCAGCAAAACACAGUGCCAAAUGAACCCAAAAACAAACAAUCAUAGGCACAGCUCUCUUGCUUUUCCAAUGGGUAGACUUAAACAACAGCCAAUAAAUCUGUGCUGUGAUCAGAGACAGUACAGGAAGUGCCUAACCCCCCAGUUCACUGUUCUGGCUUUAUUGUAGUGGAACUGGUUCUAACUCCUGGUUUAAACAGUGCUACGACAGCGCACAGAAUCAAGCCCACCAGCACUUAAUAAUUCCAAGCUCAACUAAACACCACCAGUAGGAAUGAGAAGGAAGCCAGACUGCUGAAUGCAUGAGCCAGGUGACUGCACAUCUGCAGUCUGUCCUGCCAGCCAUCAAAGCCUGGAUUACACAGCCAGCUCAGCUACAGGAGUGUUCAAAGCUGUACAUGAUCCAUCUGGACGCUGAACGUAAAUGGUCCGAAAAAAGAACAGUGCAUCUUCUCUGACUCAACUCUUGCAGGAAAUGAAGGUGGGGCAAAACCACAUGACUCUGAACAAUUCUGGGGAAGGCUCUCUGAAUUAUAAAAUCAUUGCCUGGGCUCAUAAAAAAACUCUGCAGGUGGAAGAAACUGAAAUAAGCUACUACUCAGAGAUGAAGAAGUCACAGGAACUUCAUUAAGAGCCAUCACAAAGUAUUACAGAACAAGAAGAGUCAGAAAUCCCUGGCUAAGAAUCUAUGGAAGAGGACAAUGAGGAGGAAUCUGUGCAAGAGGUUAUCCAAAAACUGCACUUCUAUUUUAGACACCCAAGACACCAAGUACUCUGCAGGACAUGCAUAUUUAAAUUGCACACACUUUUGGUCACUUGCUCAGGCACAAAUUUUAUUCAAGCUGAACAGCACAGUUGAAAAAGGUGCAAACUAUCAGAGCUCCACUGCAGCCAUCCCUGACUGAGGAUGAAAUAAAAAUAGGACAAGGAUUUGGUGCCUAGGAGAACAGAAACAGCUGGGAGAUGACAGACUAAGCAAUUACUGUUAGAGAUUCAUCAUUGGAGAGCUCCCCAGCUGAAGGAAGCGGUUGUCAGUGCAAAGCACAGAUAAUUUCAGUGUCAGCACACGGCCCGCUGAGCACAGGGGUUUGCCAGCAGAUUUCCCGCUGGCCGCUCCGCGGGUAAACGCUCUUGCAGUCAGACCACGCUGGCCAUGCUGUCUGUGCAGCUCGUGCAGAUAUCCCAGCUAUGAUGCAAGCUGUGGGGGGGAACAACCACACAGUUCAUCCAAACUCUUUCUUUAGGUUUUAGUAAACUUUGUAUUUCAAAAUCAUCUCGAUCUUCGGGGCCAGUUUUAUUCUAGACACUCCCAACAGCAGUAGCACCAAGUCAGGAGCCACGGCCACCCUUGCGCCAUCAGGUAUCUGCAUCAUUCCCAGUUUAUAGCCAGCCAUAGGCUCACCCUGCUGUGGGAUUAUGGGCCUUAGGGCAAAGUACACCGCAAGGACCUGCAUUUGCUCACCUGAAGCGUUUGUUGUUUUUUUGGUUUUUUUUUUUGUAAAGCAACUUUGGAUGGCAGCAGUAUUCUGCACAGGAGCAGUACAUGGGGGUGAUGCAGGAAAUACAGCCCCCUCUUUCAUUGGCACCUCAGUGAAGAGUCCUGCUGACUUCACUGGGACUAUGCCUUAGACAAAAGACUACAUAUGAGGGAAAGACUCAAGGGGUCUUUAAGCACAGAAAUAUUUCCUGCCAUGCACCAGUGCAUCAGAGCAUCAUGUUCUUCCUUCUUUGGCCUGCAUUUAAGCAGCAGUGAGGAGUUCUCAAUCUCCUUCCCCAAAAUCUUCUGAAGGUUAAUGCCUAUUGAGUGUCUUAAAUUACUUGAAUAAGAAAGGGCUGUAGUAGAAUACAGGGUCAUUGGGACAUUUUGAUGAGAAUUUGCAGCUUAAUUUCCUAGAAUUAAACUGCCCAACCUGUGCUCACAGGUUCCUUCCAAUGAGGGGAUGAGGACCAAAGUUACACUCUUACUUCUCCCUUCUUAAUAAAAGAAAUAAUCAAGGUUU
Molecule: long non-coding RNA, 2349 nt
Organism: Taeniopygia guttata (zebra finch)
Lineage: Eukaryota; Metazoa; Chordata; Aves; Passeriformes; Estrildidae
Source: Ensembl